AUUGAACGCUGGCGGCAGGCCUAACACAUGCAAGUCGAACGGUAACAGGAAGCAGCUUGCUGCUUUGCUGACGAGUGGCGGACGGUUGAGUAAUGUCUUGGAAACUGCCUGAUGGAGGGGGAUAACUACUGGAAACGGUAGCUAAUACCGCAUAACGUCGCAGGACCAAAGAGGGGGACCUUCGGGCCUCUUGCCAUCGGAUGUGCCCAGAUGGGAUUAGAUAGUAGGUGGGGUAAAGGCUCACCUAGGCGACGAUCCCUAGCUGGUCUGAGAGGAUGACCAGCCACACUGGAACUGAGACACGGUCCAGACUACUACGGGAGGCAGCAGUGGGGAAUAUUGCACAAUGGGCGCAAGCAUGAUGCAGCCAUGCCGCGUGUAUGAAGAAGGACUUCGGGUUGUAAAGUACUUUCCGCGGGGAGGAAGGGAGUAAAGUUAAUACCUUUGCUCAUUGACGUUAACCGCAGAAGAAGCACCGGCUAACUCCGUG
RNAcentral lists this ribosomal RNA (490 nucleotides) under uncultured bacterium. RNAcentral's name for it is "partial 16S ribosomal RNA". It matches the Rfam family "Bacterial small subunit ribosomal RNA", at positions 30 to 507 of the family's 1533-position model. The record is from RNAcentral.